Triticum aestivum (bread wheat) is the source of this 125-nucleotide non-coding RNA. Lineage: Eukaryota; Viridiplantae; Streptophyta; Magnoliopsida; Poales; Poaceae. The record is from Rfam.
UAUAUACCCCCUUCGUCUGAAAAUACUCGUCGGAGGAAUGUAUGUAUCUAAAUAUAUUUUAGUUGUAGAUACAUUCAUUUUUAUGCAUUUCUUCAAUAAGUAUUUCCCGACGGAGGGAGUAUAUA